Molecule: ribosomal RNA, 616 nt
Filed under: Apolygus lucorum
Lineage: Eukaryota; Metazoa; Arthropoda; Insecta; Hemiptera; Miridae
Description: partial 16S ribosomal RNA
Rfam family: Archaeal large subunit ribosomal RNA (bases 148-305)
Source: RNAcentral
UUAUUUUUUAAUAAUUAAUUUUUAUAUAAUUUUUAUAUAAUUAAUAUUUUAGUUAUUUAUAGGAAUAAAUAUUAUAAUAUAAUAAUAUUUUAAUAAUGAUAAAAUAAGUAUUUUAUAUAUAUAAAAUAUAGUAACUCGGCAAAUAUUAUUUUCGCCUGUUUAACAAAAACAUGGUCUUUUGUUUAUAUAAAAGAUCUAACCUGCCCUAUGAUUUAUUUAAAUGGCUGCAGUAUUUUGACUGUACAAAGGUAGCAUAAUCAUUUGUCUUUUAAUUGAAGGCUCGUAUGAAUGGUUGGAUGAAAAAUAUACUUUCUUUAUUUUAUAUAAAAAAUUUAAUUUUCUAGUCAAAAAGCUAGGAUUUUUUUAUAGGACGAGAAGACCCUAUAGAACUUUAUUUUCUUUUUUUAUAAACUUUAUAGAUAAAUAUAAGUUUAUAUAUUUUUGUUAAUUUUGUUGGGGUGAUUGAAAAAAUUUUUUAACUUUUUCUAUUUUUUACAUUUAUAUAUGUUUUUUUGAUCCUUUAUUAUGGAAUAAAAGAUUAAGUUACCUUAGGGAUAACAGCGUUAUUUUUUUGGAGAGUUCUUAUCGAUAAAAAAGUUUGCGACCUCGAUGUUGG